CAAUUAAAUGCUAGUGUCACCACGCCUCGCCCGAUUCACAAAAAAUCCUAUGAACCCUAAAAGCCAAAUUCUGGGGCAAAAUUAGAAAUCACCAAAGCCCAAAAUUGUUUCUAACCCUAAGCCCCAAAUCCAUUCUACCCCAUUGACAGUCCCCCCAAUCUGACGAAUGAGGAACAAUUUUUUUGAUUGAAAUGGAAAAGACGUGAAGAUGGAGGGAGGAAAUGAAGGUAAUUUCAAUUGUUCAAAUUUAUUUUUGGAACUCCAAAUCCUUUGAAUUUUUUUUGCACUAGAAGAUGGUUGAAGGGGGCUUGGAUUGAUAGAUAGGAUGUUUUCACUAUUAUGUCUGUCAUCCUUUCAUUUAUUGGCCAUCCAUUCUGAAAAUGCCCCCUAUGGACUUAGCAGAUGAUUAACCUGGUUCAAAUGUGGUAUUAACUAUCAACCUCCAACGAUGGUACACGAGGAUAAUCUUGCCAAGGUGCAGCGAGCUGUGUGCAUGAUUAGCAACAAACACUGCUGUAGCUGAAGUGUUUUCACAAAUUGACCACAAAUUUGAUCUGAUGUACGCCAAAAGGGCAUUUGGUCAUUGGUAUGUUGGUGAAGGAAUGAAAGAAGGUGAUUUCAGUGAAGCUCGUGAAGAUUUAGUUGCACUUGAGAAAGAUUACAAAGAAGUUGGUGGUGAGGCGUAGAUGAUGAAGAAGAAGGCGAGUGUGAAGAUUAUUAAUGUUGUUGGCCUUCUAAGUUCCUCAAAUCGCGAUAGUUGGGCUAUUAUCUAUGUCCUAUCAUGUGCUAUUGUGUUUUGUGUAUUAAUGUUUUCUUACUUUGGAUAAGGCAUUGUUCAAACCUUGUUUGUAGUAGAAAGUUCAUCUACAAAGGGCUUCAAGAGUUGGAUGGACCAGCUGCAUGCUCACCCAAGUUAUGACAACAAGAAUUGUGCUAGUUAAACGAUCGAUAUAUCUUCAUUUUCAAGUAUAAUGUCUUUAUAGCCAAACAAAGCUCGUGAUGGAACAAUUAAAUGUUUUUAGAUAUACACAAGCAGCUUUUGAAUAAUGUCUUUAAUUCUCAAUAAUAACAGAACA
This 1076-nucleotide long non-coding RNA is filed under the name Olea europaea subsp. europaea. The record is from RNAcentral. Lineage: Eukaryota; Viridiplantae; Streptophyta; Magnoliopsida; Lamiales; Oleaceae.